Molecule: ribosomal RNA, 1398 nt
Filed under: uncultured bacterium
Lineage: Bacteria
Description: bacterial SSU rRNA
Rfam family: Bacterial small subunit ribosomal RNA
Source: RNAcentral
AGUUUGAUCCUGGCUCAGAUUGAACGCUGGCGGCAGGCCUAACACAUGCAAGUCGAACGGUAACAGGAAGAAGCUUGCUUCUUUGCUGACGAGUGGCGGACGGGUGAGUAAUGUCUGGGAAACUGCCUGAUGGAGGGGGAUAACUACUGGAAACGGUAGCUAAUACCGCAUAACGUCGCAAGACCAAAGAGGGGGACCUUCGGGCCUCUUGCCAUCGGAUGUGCCCAGAUGGGAUUAGCUUGUUGGUGGGGUAACGGCUCACCAAGGCGACGAUCCCUAGCUGGUCUGAGAGGAUGACCAGCCACACUGGAACUGAGACACGGUCCAGACUCCUACGGGAGGCAGCAGUGGGGAAUAUUGCACAAUGGGCGCAAGCCUGAUGCAGCCAUGCCGCGUGUAUGAAGAAGGCCUUCGGGUUGUAAAGUACUUUCAGCGGGGAGGAAGGGAGUAAAGUUAAUACCUUUGCUCAUUGACGUUGCCCGCAGAAGAAGCACCGGCUAACUCCGUGCCAGCAGCCGCGGUAAUACGGAGGGUGCAAGCGUUAAUCGGAAUUACUGGGCGUAAAGCGCACGCAGGCGGUUUGUUAAGUCAGAUGUGAAAUCCCCGGGCUCAACCUGGGAACUGCAUCUGAUACUGGCAAGCUUGAGUCUCGUAGAGGGGGGUAGAAUUCCAGGUGUAGCGGUGAAAUGCGUAGAGAUCUGGAGGAAUACCGGUGGCGAAGGCGGCCCCCUGGACGAAGACUGACGCUCAGGUGCGAAAACGUGGGGAGCAAACAGGAUUAGAUACCCUGGUAGUCCACGCCGUAAACGAUGUCGAUUUGGAGGUUGUGCCCUUGAGGCGUGGCUUCCGGAGCUAACGCGUUAAAUCGACCGCCUGGGGAGUACGGCCGCAAGGUUAAAACUCAAAUGAAUUGACGGGGGCCCGCACAAGCGGUGGAGCAUGUGGUUUAAUUCGAUGCAACGCGAAGAACCUUACCUGGUCUUGACAUCCACAGAACUUUCCAGAGAUGGAUUGGUGCCUUCGGGAACUGUGAGACAGGUGCUGCAUGGCUGUCGUCAGCUCGUGUUGUGAAAUGUUGGGUUAAGUCCCGCAACGAGCGCAACCCUUAUCCUUUGUUGCCAGCGGUUCGGCCGGGAACUCAAAGGAGACUGCCAGUGAUAAACUGGAGGAAGGUGGAGAUGACGUCAAGUCAUCAUGGCCCUUACGACCAGGGCUACACACGUGCUACAAUGGCAUAUACAAAGAGAAGCGACCUCGCGAGAGCAAGCGGACCUCAUAAAGUAUGUCGUAGUCCGGAUUGGAGUCUGCAACUCGACUCCAUGAAGUCGGAAUCGCUAGUAAUCGUAGAUCAGAAUGCUACGGUGAAUACGUUCCCGGGCCUUGCACACACCGCCCGUC